AUGAUUCUUGGUCUUGUGGGAGUUAACAGAAAAGCCUCCAUCGCACACCGCAGCAGCCUGAACGGAUUACCUGAGGUCUCAAAGCACCAUCUAAAAAGAUGCGUGUUUCUAAAGAGGAAGGGCUUUCCCAGUGCUGACCUUUCCACAGGCUCUCUGCCUGAGCCCUGGGGCCUCUGGACUCUUCACUGUUCAGCCACUGCAGCCUGCUGCCUGGAGCCUGACUGAAUUUCAAAACAGACCCCUCUUCUACGGGGCAUGGCAGCUGAGAGGGGCUGUGCUUUGUUUCCAAAAUGCACAAGUAUGCCACUAUGAGUAAAUGGUGGUGGAGAUGCUCCCCUUCCCGUCCCUUUAGCUGAUGUGACUUUUGUACUAUAAAACAAUAUUUCUGUCUAGAGUACAUAUGAGCUCUGUUCUGCCAGCCCAUGUUGUGUCCAUUGGCAUACUUAAAAUAAUGCUUAAAAUAACUUUUACGUGCUGAAUUUUAAGUGAUUCAGAUGCUACUGUAGUUUAAGUUGUACAUGUGUGGACCUUGACAAAAAUAGAAGGGGACGUGGGAGUCCCAUAUUACAGAGGCUUUUUACACUGAUAAAGCUGUUUGAUGCAUCCACGAGAGCCUUUUACAAGGUAUUUUAACUUUAACCACUUUGCUGCUGCAGUCUCAGCUGCCCGGCAUCACUAGAAUUCUUUUGGGAUUUGAGUAAAACCUCAGCCCUACAGAGAAAUUCAGUUCUGCACAGACCAAAAGCAAAGCACUUAAUGGGUAUUAGUCUAAAAGGUACUUCUGUUUUAUGAGCUAUAUUUACACAUUUAACAGGUCACUUUCUAUUGCAAUUUACAUUUAAGUGCACUGGAAGCUUAUUCCUUUGUGUGCUAUUUAAUUUAAGAGGAUUUUCUUCUAUUUCUCUUAAUUUGGGGCAUUGUUCUGAUGGUACUAAAAUUAAUUCCACUAAUAGUUCUGGUAAUUCAGUGGAUGUUACUAACUUCCAUUUGUUUGGUUCCUUUCAUCCAAAUUCAUUCCAGUCCUUUUAAAACCUUUUACUUACUAUGCAAAUCAGUUAUGAAAUAUGUGAGAAUGAGUUUGCCUUCCUCUGAAAUGCAGCUACAUCUCAAAUAAAACAUUCUAACAGCUUCUAAUAUUUGCA
RNAcentral lists this long non-coding RNA (1142 nucleotides) under Anas platyrhynchos platyrhynchos (common mallard). RNAcentral's name for it is "lncRNA (ENSAPLG00000023850.1)". Lineage: Eukaryota; Metazoa; Chordata; Aves; Anseriformes; Anatidae. The record is from RNAcentral.